UACGUAGGCAGCGAGCGUUGUUCGGAAUUACUGGGCGUAAAGAGUGUGUAGGCGGUGCUCUAAGUUCGGUGUGAAAUCUCCUGGCUCAACUGGGAGGGUGCGCCGGAAACUGGAGUGCUUGAGCGUGGGAGAGGAAAGCGGAAUUCCUGGUGUAGCGGUGAAAUGCGUAGAUAUCAGGAGGAACACCUGUGGUGUAGACGGCUUUCUGGACCAUUUCUGACGCUGAGACACGAAAGCGUGGGUAGCAAACAGG
This 253-nucleotide ribosomal RNA is filed under the name uncultured bacterium. Its description in RNAcentral is "partial 16S ribosomal RNA". It matches the Rfam family "Bacterial small subunit ribosomal RNA", at positions 524 to 776 of the family's 1533-position model. The record is from RNAcentral.